AGUGAACGCUGGCGGUAGGCCUAACACAUGCAAGUCGAACGGCAGCACAGUAAGAGCUUGCUCUUACGGGUGGCGAGUGGCGGACGGGUGAGGAAUACAUCGGAAUCUACUUUUUCGUGGGGGAUAACGUAGGGAAACUUACGCUAAUACCGCAUACGACCUACGGGUGAAAGCAGGGGAUCUUCUGACCUUGCGCGAUUGAAUGAGCCGAUGUCGGAUUAGCUAGUUGGCGGGGUAAAGGCCCACCAAGGCGACGAUCCGUAGCUGGUCUGAGAGGAUGAUCAGCCACACUGGAACUGAGACACGGUCCAGACUCCUACGGGAGGCAGCAGUGGGUAAUAUUGGACAAAGGGCGCAAGCCUGAUCCAGCCAUACCGCGUGGGUGAAGAAGGCCUUCGGGUUGUAAAGCCCUUUUGUUGGGAAAGAAAAGCAGCAGGUUAAUACCCCGCUGUUCUGACGGUACCCAAAGAAUAAGCACCGGCUAACUUCGUG
RNAcentral lists this ribosomal RNA (492 nucleotides) under uncultured bacterium. Its description in RNAcentral is "partial 16S ribosomal RNA". It matches the Rfam family "Bacterial small subunit ribosomal RNA", at positions 29 to 507 of the family's 1533-position model. The record is from RNAcentral.